UAUAACACCCGAAUUGGGGAAAAAAAGGAAGGAACAAUAUAGCAGUAGUUAGGGCAAUUUCAGAAUAAGGGGAAGAAGAAAGAGCAGGAGCUGGAAGAGAAGGAGAACAACUCGACAAAGAUGAAGCAGGAUGUGGCGAUUCGAGGGUGGAAGCCAUGCGCCCCAAAAGGCUUAGGGACCAAGAAAUUUUCGUGGAAGGCAAGGUGAUUUGCCUAUAAAGACUCGAUCUCUCC
Molecule: long non-coding RNA, 233 nt
Filed under: Panax ginseng (ginseng)
Lineage: Eukaryota; Viridiplantae; Streptophyta; Magnoliopsida; Apiales; Araliaceae
Description: long non-coding RNA (PGIN_LNC009718)
Source: RNAcentral